This 691-nucleotide non-coding RNA is filed under the name Pan troglodytes (chimpanzee). Lineage: Eukaryota; Metazoa; Chordata; Mammalia; Primates; Hominidae. The record is from RNAcentral.
GUAAAGUGGCAGAAGCUGGGACCAUACAACUCUAAAGCCCACAUUCUUAGACAUUAGGGGAUAUUGAAUGAAGUGUGUGUAUGUAUGGGGGAAUUUAAGAGAAUAUCAAACCAUUUGUAGAGUUCUACCCAAUAUAGAGACCUUAUCUAAUGUAAGAGAACUCUGAAGACAUCUCAUUGAUUGAAUGCUCUCCCCUUCAUAGCAACUUCUUCUGCGGCUUCCUUGCCUGGUGCUCCAGUCUUUGAGGGAAGCACGGCUGGCACGUUCUUCCGUUUGGAGACAUGGUUGACAAUUUCUCCAUAAUGGGGACACAACUGGCAAUUUUCCUACAGAGUGAGGCAGAUGGCAGUUUUCCUUCAGAGACAUGCAGGCAACAGUUUUGCCCCUGGAGAGAAAAGCCUCGCCGAUUGAGAUGCAGCCAGUAAUUUUUACUAUACAGAAGACACAUCCAAUAAUUUUGCCCAGUGAGAGAAACGGCCAACAAUUUUCCCACAGAGGACAGGAAAAACAGACCAAAAAUUCAUAGUGGGGAGAAGUGAGGAGCAAAUGGGCUGGUGUGACCAAGAAAGACUUAAUAAGAAGCUGAGCCUUAAAUGAUCAAGAAGCACUGGAUAGAUAAGAGCACUGUUCACAAUAGCCAAGAUUUGGAAGCAACCUAAGUGUUCACCAACUGAUGAAUGGAUAAGGAAAA